AACGCCUUCUAGGGAGAAGAGGAUAUGACAGGCGGGACAUGACAGACGGGACAUGACAGACGGGACAUGACAGACGGGAUAUGACAGACGGGAUAAAACAGACGGGAUAAAACAGACGGGAUAUGACAGACGGGACAUGACAGACGGGAUAAAACAGACGGGAUAUGACAGACGGGACAUGACAGACGGGACAUGACAGACGGGAUAUGACAGACGGGAUAAAACAGACGGGAUAAAACAGACGGGAUAUGACAGACGGGAUAAAACAGACGGGAUAUGACAGACGGGAUAAAACAGAUGGGCUAUGACAGACGGGACAUGACAGACGGGACAUGACAGACGGGACAUGACAGACGGGACAUGACAGACGGGAUAUGACAGACGGGAUAAAACAGACGGGAUAAAACAGACGGGAUAUGACAGACGGGAUAAAACAGAUGGGCUAUGACAGACGGGACAUGACAGACGGGACAUGACAGACGGGACAUGACAGACGGGAUAUGACAGACGGGAUAAAACAGAUGGGCUAUGACAGACGGGACAUGACAGACGGGAUAAAACAGAUGGGCUAUGACAGACGGGACAUGACAGACGGGACAUGACAGACGGGACAUGACAGACGGGAUAUGACAGACGGGAUAAAACAGACGGGAUAAAACAGACGGGAUAUGACAGACGGGAUAAAACAGAUGGGCUAUGACAGACGGGACAUGACAGACGGGAUAUGACAGACGGGAUAAAACAGAUGGGCUAUGACAGACGGGAUAAAACAGAUGGGCUAUGACAGACGGGAUAAAACAGAUGGGCCAUGACAGACGGGACAUGACAGACGGGACAUGACAGACGGGAUAUGACAGACGGGAUAAAACAGACGGGACAUGACAGACGGGACAUGACAGACGGGAUAUGACAGACGGGAUAAAACAGACGGGACAUAACAGACGGGACAUGACAGACGGGACAUGACAGACGGGACAUGACAGACGGGACAUGACAGACGGGACAUGACAGACGGGACACAAACGUGACUGCUGAGUUCGUUCACACAAGCUUUAAAAAGGAGGUUUUCGAGGAGGGAAGAAGGACCCUUGUCGAUGUAAACUCUUAUCUCCCCUCACCACUCCACGGGUUUAUUCCCACGGAACCAAACGGAAGCAAACAGGGAGGGACUAACCUGAACUUUUCUCAUAAGAACACUCGUUUUUCAUUUACGAAACGUUUUCCAUUACAAAACGAUUUGCACUAAUGAAUACAACCCAUCGCCCACUUUCUCCUGACAAUCCUACUGUCUUCUUCUACUUGGUGACAGACUCACAGUCUCACAAUGCCUCAACUGAAUUGGUAUCAGAUGGGAGAGAGAGGCCGCACACGCAAACACACUGAACUAUGAUCUUGUUG
RNAcentral lists this long non-coding RNA (1398 nucleotides) under Salmo salar (Atlantic salmon). RNAcentral describes it as "lncRNA (ENSSSAG00000105755.1)". Lineage: Eukaryota; Metazoa; Chordata; Actinopteri; Salmoniformes; Salmonidae. The record is from RNAcentral.